GGAUGCGAUCAUACCAGCACUAAAGCACCGGAUCCCAUCAGAACUCUGAAGUUAAGCGUGCUUGGGCGAGAGUAGUACUAGGAUGGGUGACCUCCUGGGAAGUCCUCGUGUUGCAUUCCC
RNAcentral lists this ribosomal RNA (120 nucleotides) under Secale cereale (rye). Lineage: Eukaryota; Viridiplantae; Streptophyta; Magnoliopsida; Poales; Poaceae. RNAcentral also lists the same sequence under 2 other names. The record is from RNAcentral.